AACAACCAAAAGGAGAAUCAAGUCUCCAAAACAGUGUCAAUAGUACAUAUUAAUAUGUUCAGACAACAGAAAUGAGCGAGGGCGAGUUGCUUAAGUUUCAACUGUGCAAAUUGAAGAUGAAUGGAAAAUGGUUAAGAGAACUAAAUUUAUUAGAAAUAAAGAAUCAGAAAGAAGGGAGUGAAGUAGAGGCAUACCCCUUCAAAAGAACAUAGAAGCACCGAACGUGGAAUUAUUUCUCCUCCCAGGUACUCUUUUCUCACAAUACUUAGGUCCGGCAGAGAAAAUAUCCUAACACUUAUGUCUGUCCACAUUCCAACGACAGCCAAUUUGCUGGGGUUUUGGUUUUUUACCACAGGAGUAAUAUCAAGAAGAAAGCACUCAUACUAUGCAAGCAUAAUCAACUGAAUUAUUGUACAAUUAACAACCCUAUAAACUUUACAGGGGUUAUUAAUUAAUGGUGCGUAACAGAAGGGCAAAAAAUGUGACAUCUAAAAUCACAUAAUUCAAUCCAACCUGGCUAGCAUUAGCAGUAGCAACAUUAAUAGAAUGGCCUGAAGGAGCACUCCACUCCCACCGACGUUCUCUCGUUGUGGAACUGGCUAGUAUAACUGAGCUUGAAGUAACCUGACAGCAUGACAUGAACAAGAUAAUCAACACAAAAUACCACACGACCAUUAGUAGUCCCUAAAUUAUUAGUACACAAGGAGUUUCAAAUAGGAUUAUAGAACCUGAGAAAGUGAAACUACUAUUGCUAAAAAAAAAGUAACCUACUUGCACAAGCUGAUUGUGGAUGGCAUAAUGACAGAACAAAGUCUGCACUUGUGAAUUAAAACCUUCAAUUUCAGUUUCUUCCAACUCAUCCUCAAGGUUCAUUGCCAGAACUCUAGUCUCACUAAUAAAACUGACAACAAGGAAGGUGUCAAAUGGAUCGUUGGUGGAAGAUCUCAAAGACCACAUUCCUUUAAUGCCUUGAAGCUCUACAGAUGCCUGCAUUACAUAGACCACUCCAUUAGCCUUCAAAACUAUGAAUACACAAGGUAGAAUUUGAGAAAUGAUGGGCUGCCACAAUGGAACCUGUUCAUUGAUUCCUAUUCCAUUCCGGACUAUACGAAGCGAACCAUCCUUGUAAGCUCCAGAACAUGUUACAACCUGACCCUGCCCUUGCCUUUCAAGAUCCACCACGCAAAAGUCCACUAUGGGUCCCAGAUUGACAUACCUUUCCAGAACUUCCACAUAUGAACCUCUGUUAUCAGGUUGUAAAUUGAGCUUUAUAAGCUGCAUUGCACCACAGUAGAUGGUUAGCACCUCAAAUCGCAGAUAAAAUUUCAUACUCCAUGGCUGAUACUCGAACAGAGACGCCAGAUAAUAUUUUGGUUCCAUUUCAGAAAUGCGAGCAUGCUCAAAAAGAAAGGCUAGAAUGCUCAUAUACAUACUGCAAAUUGUUCAAUCCCAAUGGUCAUUAUUCAAACACCUGAUGCAGACAUACCUGUGAAUCACCAAAACUAGAACCAAUGAAGACAAAUGCAUUAUCAAGGUAUGAUAUGGUUGAUGGAACAGAAGUCUCUCCCAAAAGCUCAAUCUUCAAUCCAGUGACCCUAAACAAUAGUAGAGAAGUUUAACAAAUGUUCUCAGAAACAAUAAAAUGGUGGUUAUCUGCGUUCCCGGUAUUAAUAUUCACUAGAGGAACAAUCGUAAACAAGUAUAUGACACAAGAACAGAAAAUAACUCACUUCUCUUUCUCAUGAGUUAGAUACUCAAAAUACUGCAGAUACAAGAACCAAAAGGAGAAUCAAGUCUCCAAAACGGUAAUAGUACAUAUUUCAUAUGUUCAGACAACAGAAAUGAGUAUGGGUGAGUUGCUUAAGUUUCAACUGUGCAAAUUGAAGAUGAAUGGAAAUUGGUUAAGAGAACUAAAAUUAUUAGAAAUAAAGAAUCAGAAAGAAGGGAGUGAAGUACAGGCAUACCCCUUCAAAAGCACAUAGAAGCACCGAACGUGGAAUUAUUUCUCCUCCCAGGUACUCUUUUCUCACAAUACUUAGGUCCGGCAGAGAAAAUAUCCUAACACUUAUGUCUGUCCACAUUCC
This 2084-nucleotide long non-coding RNA is filed under the name Linum usitatissimum (flax). RNAcentral's name for it is "long non-coding RNA (LUSI_LNC007554)". The record is from RNAcentral. Lineage: Eukaryota; Viridiplantae; Streptophyta; Magnoliopsida; Malpighiales; Linaceae.